Molecule: transfer RNA, 57 nt
Filed under: Syphacia muris
Lineage: Eukaryota; Metazoa; Nematoda; Chromadorea; Rhabditida; Oxyuridae
Description: tRNA-Asn
Source: RNAcentral
UAAGAGUUAGUUUAAUUUUAAAAUAGUAGAUUGUUACUCUAAAGAUUGAGAUCUUAG